CAGAGUUCUACAGCCCAGCUGACUGCUCUCUGUGAUGUCCUCACGUUAUGCCAACUGUUACAAAGUAGUGAGGCACAGUGCCAGCUGUCUCUGCCACUAACAGCCUCCUGGUAGAUCUACAGCCACCUGACGGCUGUUCCUGGACCUGUGGCUGGGGGACAGCUGGGAAAGAGGAGUGGGGAGACAGAGAGCUAGAGUUGACACAUUCACUCUUGAACGGAGGGACGGCACGCAUACCUACUGUACCCUCUCAUGCUGAAGCCUUUUUGUUCUACAAGUCGUUACCACUAUCUGGACUGGAGCUUUAACACUACUGCUGUUUUCACCUUUCGGGGAACUGAGAACGACAGACAGACACCUUUUUGCUCACCUCUCCUUCAUUACAGGAGUAAAAGAGUGAGGCAGAUUUGCGUUAGGCAGGGGGGUGUAAUUUAUAGGUCUAGGAGGAGUGGUGUGUGUGUUUAGGUCGAAGGUAGAAUUACCUCAUUCUAGGGAAGCUCUGAGUGAUUGAGAUCAGACAGAGGGCUUCCAGCCGCUAACCCUAACUCUUAUCUGAGCUUCUUCUCUGUUCUGGGUCAGCCUCCUGUCCCCUCCUGCUCUGAACAGGCUCAGAGAGAGAGAAUCCUGUGAGAGAAAGAGAAUCUCUGCCAGAGAAUCACUGCGAGAGAGAGAAUCCCUGCGAGAGAAUCCCUGCGGAGAGAAUCCCUGCGAGAGAAUCCCUGCGAGAGAAUCCCUGCGAGAGAAUCCCUGCGAGAGAAUCGCUGAGAGAGAAUCCCUGCGAGAGAGAGAAUCGCUGCGAGAGAAUCCCUGAGAGAGAAUCCCUGAGAGAGAGAGAAUCCAUGCAAGAGAGAGAGAAUCCCUGCAAGAGAGCAGAGAAUCCCUGCGAGAGAGAGAGAGAGAGAAGAGUAAGACGCGCUCACGCUCCCAGAGAGGUGGAGACUUUAUUCCCGUGCUCUUCCUCUCUUUCCUCUCUGUUUUCCUCCUCCUUAUCUCUCUCUGUGUGUCAGGGUGUGGCAGCAGCAUUAUGCCUGCAGUGUUCCUGUUCCUGCUCAGAACCCUCCUUUCCAGUAGAAUGAUAGGAUCCCUGCUCCAGUUCCUCAGGAGAACUUUGUCCUCAACCUUCAGCCACGUGGGAGCCGCGCUGAGAUACGUCUGGGACAGGAUCAGCUCUCAGGAGUCUAAAGAAGCCAUCCUGGGCUGUGUGCUGUGUCUCCUUAACAUGCACAAGAAGGUGGAUCAGCCAGCAGCUGAGUCUCACUGAGUCACUCUCUUGGCUUUUCUUCCUCUUCAGAAAGAACAAGAGAAAGGACGAGAGAGAGAACAAGAGAGAGGGAGAGAGAACAAGAGAGAGGGAGAGAGAACGAGAGAGAGGAAGAGAGAACGAGAACAAGAGAACAAGAGACAGAGAACAAGAGAGAGAGAACAAGAGAGACUUGGGAAGAGAGGAAGCUCUCUCUAUUGAGCUCUCUCCACUUUCCUUUCUGUUCAUUCAACCUCCACUUGUUUACUGCCGGAGGGAGAGAGAGAACAAGAGAGGAAGAGAGGGUUUCAGACUUUUCAUUUCGAGCUCAUUUGGACUGUAGUAUUUUUCUGACUGGAGUGCUCAGAGCAAAGCGCCCAGAUUCAGGUGAAUGAGACUGUAUCGGACCGCUGGGCUGGUGCUGACUACCUCAGAAAGCAUCGUCAGGGAGGUCCAACCUUUCACCAUCGGGACCAGGCUGUCUGUCUCUGGAUCUGCUACCAGGUCCAGACUUCCCCCAGAUGCUCUCCUGCCAGAGUGGGACUCUGGAUAAUAUCACCCUGCAGACCAACCUCCAUGACCAAGUCUCCCUCUACCUCAGCCAGGUGCAGAUCCAUCAGGAAGAUUUCCAUCUCUGGAAGCCCUGAGGAGGAGGACAGCUCCUGGAGGAGACAGGAGGACUCAGAGCACAAGGUGGUCGUUGAGGAGGAGGACGGCUCCUGGAGGAGACAGGAGGACUCAGAGCACAAGGUGGUCGUUGAGGAGGAGGACGGCUCCUGGAGGAGACAGGAGGACUCAGAGCACAAGGUGGUCGUUGAGGAGGAGGACGGCUCCUGGAGGAGACAGGAGGACUCAGAGCACAAGGUGGUCGUUGAGGAGGAGGACGGCUCCUGGAGGAGACAGGAGGACUCAGAGCACAAGGUGGUCGUUGAGGAGGAGGACGGCUCCUGGAGGAGACAGGAGGACUCAGAGCACAAGGUGGUCGUUGAGGAGGAGGACGGCUCCUGGAGGAGACAGGAGGAGUUAGACCACAGGGUGGUCAGUAUGGGACCAGGACCGGGAAGACCCCCCCUGUCACAGUGACCAGAAACAUAUAAAAACAUCAACUACAACAACAUCAGCAGCUCCAAGCCACAGCUUCCCAGGAUAGUGGGAGUUAGAAUAUUAAAGCUUCCCAGGAUAGUGGGAGUUAGAAUAUUAAAGCUUCCCAGGAUAGUGGGAGUUAGAAUAUUAAAGCUUCCCAGGAUAGUGGGAGUUAGAAUAUUAAAGCUUCCCAGGAUAGUGGGAGUUAGAAUAUUAAAGCUUCCCAGGAUAGUGGGAGUUAGAAUAUUAAAGCUUCCCAGGAUAGUGGGAGUUAGAAUAUUAAAGCUUCCCAGGAUAGUGGGAGUUAGAAUAUUAAAGCUUCCCAGGAUAGU
RNAcentral lists this long non-coding RNA (2655 nucleotides) under Salmo salar (Atlantic salmon). Its description in RNAcentral is "lncRNA (ENSSSAG00000093962.1)". The record is from RNAcentral. Lineage: Eukaryota; Metazoa; Chordata; Actinopteri; Salmoniformes; Salmonidae.